GACGAACGCUGGCGGCGUGCCUAAUACAUGCAAGUAGGACGCAGUUGCGAACGGGUGAGCAACGUGUAGGUAACUACCUAUUAGAGGGGGAUAACCAUUGGAAACGAUAGCUAAUACCGCAUACUAGUAGAUGGACCUGCGUUGUAUUGGCUAGUAGGUAGGGUAAUGGCCUACCUAGGCAACGAUACAUAGCCGACCUGAGAGGGUGAUCGGCCACACUGGGACUGAGACACGUCCCAGACGCCGACAGGAGGCAGCAGUAGGGAAUCUUCGGGAAUGGGGGGAACCCUGACCGAGCAGCUCCGCGUGAGUGAGGAAGGUUUUCGGGUCGUGAAGCUCUGUUGUUAAGGAAGCGGUACUUGACCAGAAAGGAACGGCUAACUACGUGCCAGCAGCCGCGGUAAUUC
Molecule: ribosomal RNA, 407 nt
Filed under: uncultured bacterium
Lineage: Bacteria
Description: partial 16S ribosomal RNA
Rfam family: Bacterial small subunit ribosomal RNA
Source: RNAcentral